UCAUGGACGAGAGUCUGAACCAGCCAAGUAGCGUGCAGGAAGACGGCCCUAUCGGUUGUAAACUGCUUUUAUAAGGGAAUAAAGUGAGUCUCGUGAGGCUUUUUGCAUGUACCUUAUGAAUAAGGACCGGCUAAUUCCGUGCCAGCAGCCGCGGUAAUACGGAGGAUCCGAGCGUUAUCCGGAUUUAUUGGGUUUAAAGGGAGCGUAGAUGGAUGUUUAAGUCAGUUGUGAAAGUUUGCGGCUCAACCGUAAAAUUGCAGUUGAUACUGGAUAUCUUGAGUGCAGUUGAGGCAGGCGGAAUUCGUGGUGUAGCGGUGAAAUGCUUAGAUAUCACGAAGAACUCCGAUUGCGAAGGCAGCCUGCUAAGCUGCAACUGACAUUGAGGCUCGAAAGUGUGGGUAUCAAACAGGAUUAGAUACCCUGGUAGUCCAAGGGCGAAUUC
This 442-nucleotide ribosomal RNA is filed under the name uncultured bacterium. RNAcentral's name for it is "SSU rRNA". It matches the Rfam family "Bacterial small subunit ribosomal RNA", at positions 369 to 808 of the family's 1533-position model. The record is from RNAcentral.